UACAUGGGGUGCAAACGUUGCUCGGAAUUAUUGGGCGUAAAGCGCACGUAGGCGGUUCGUUAAGUCGGAUGUGAAAGCCCUCGGCUCAACUGAGGAAGUGCACCCGAAACUGGCGAGCUUGAGUACGAAAGAGGAUCGCGGAAUUCCCGGUGUAGAGGUGAAAUUCGUAGAUAUCGGGAGGAACACCGGUGGCGAAGGCGGCGAUCUGGGUAGAUACUGACGCUGAGGUGCGAAAGCGUGGGGAGCAAACAGG
This 253-nucleotide ribosomal RNA is filed under the name uncultured bacterium. RNAcentral describes it as "partial 16S ribosomal RNA". It matches the Rfam family "Bacterial small subunit ribosomal RNA", at positions 524 to 776 of the family's 1533-position model. The record is from RNAcentral.